RNAcentral lists this ribosomal RNA (445 nucleotides) under uncultured bacterium. RNAcentral describes it as "partial 16S ribosomal RNA". It matches the Rfam family "Bacterial small subunit ribosomal RNA", at positions 354 to 796 of the family's 1533-position model. The record is from RNAcentral.
GUAAGGAAUAUUGGUCAAUGGAGGCAACUCUGAACCAGCCAUGCCGCGUGCAGGAAGACGGCCCUCUGGGUUGUAAACUGCUUUUAUCCGGGAAUAAACCUGCCUUCGUGAAGGUAGCUGAAUGUACCGGAAGAAUAAGGAUCGGCUAACUCCGUGCCAGCAGCCGCGGUAAUACGGAGGAUCCAAGCGUUAUCCGGAUUUAUUGGGUUUAAAGGGUGCGUAGGCGGCCUGUUAAGUCAGGGGUGAAAGACGGUGGCUCAACCAUCGCAGUGCCCUUGAUACUGAUGGGCUUGAAUGGACUAGAGGUAGGCGGAAUGUGACAAGUAGCGGUGAAAUGCAUAGAUAUGUCACAGAACACCGAUUGCGAAGGCAGCUUACUAUGGUCCUAUUGACGCUGAGGCACGAAAGCGUGGGGAUCGAACAGGAUUAGAUACCCGGGUAGUCC